This 423-nucleotide ribosomal RNA is filed under the name Ramichloridium sp. RNAcentral's name for it is "eukaryotic LSU rRNA". The stretch from base 89 to 242 matches the Rfam family "5.8S ribosomal RNA". Lineage: Eukaryota; Fungi; Ascomycota; Dothideomycetes; Mycosphaerellales; Dissoconiaceae. The record is from RNAcentral.
ACCCCCACCCGCACGGGUGUGGCCCCCCGGUGGCCCCCUCAAACACUUGUUGUAUCUGCCGUCCGAGUCGCAAAUGCAAAUGAAACAAAACUUUCAACAACGGAUCUCUUGGUUCUGGCAUCGAUGAAGAACGCAGCGAAAUGCGAUAAGUAAUGUGAAUUGCAGAAUUCAGUGAAUCAUCGAAUCUUUGAACGCACAUUGCGCCCCCUGGUAUUCCGGGGGGCAUGCCUGUUCGAGCGUCAUUACAACCAAUCCAGCCCGGCUGGGUGUUGGGCGUCGCGGCCUGCCGCGCGCCUCAAAGUCCUCGGCGGAAGCCGCCCGUUCCUCUGCGUGAUGACCCAUCGCCGCUUGGGAGUCGGGGGAGAGCGCCUGCACGCGUCGACGGAGACGUCGCCUUCAAGGUUGACCUCGGAUCAGGUAGGG